AUACGUAGGUGGCAAGCGUUGUCCGGAAUUAUUGGGCGUAAAGCGCAUGUAGGCGGUUUGGUAAGUCGGUCGUGAAAAUGCGGUGCUUAACGCCGUAUGGCGAUUGAAACUGCUGAACUUGAGUGCAGGAGAGGAAAGGGGAACUCCCAGUGUAGCGGUGAAAUGCGUAGAUAUUGGGAAGAACACCGGUGGCGAAGGCGCCUUUCUGGACUGUGUCUGACGCUCAGAUGCGAAAGCCAGGGUAGCGAACGGGAUUAGAUACCCCGGUAGUCCUGGCCGUAAACGAUGGGUACUAGGUGUGGGAGGUAUCGACUCCUUCCGUGCCGGAGU
RNAcentral lists this ribosomal RNA (330 nucleotides) under uncultured bacterium. Its description in RNAcentral is "partial 16S ribosomal RNA". It matches the Rfam family "Bacterial small subunit ribosomal RNA", at positions 523 to 852 of the family's 1533-position model. The record is from RNAcentral.